This 253-nucleotide ribosomal RNA is filed under the name uncultured bacterium. RNAcentral's name for it is "partial 16S ribosomal RNA". It matches the Rfam family "Bacterial small subunit ribosomal RNA", at positions 524 to 776 of the family's 1533-position model. The record is from RNAcentral.
UACGAAGGGUGCAAGCGUUACUCGGAAUUACUGGGCGUAAAGCGUGCGUAGGUGGUUUGUUAAGUCUGUUGUGAAAGCCCCGGGCUCAACCUGGGAAUGGCAAUGGAUACUGGCAAGCUAGAGUGCGGUAGAGGGUAGUGGAAUUCCCGGUGUAGCGGUGAAAUGUGUAGAGAUCGGGAGGAACACCAGUGGCGAAGGCGGCUACCUGGACCAGCAUUGACACUCAAGCACGAAAGCGUGGGGAGCAAACAGG